Long non-coding RNA from Carya illinoinensis, 937 nucleotides. RefSeq lists it as uncharacterized. The transcript has 2 exons. The record is from RefSeq and is a predicted model, not a curated record. Lineage: Eukaryota; Viridiplantae; Streptophyta; Magnoliopsida; Fagales; Juglandaceae.
AAUCCUUCCUAAUCUAUGUUAAAACUAAGAGAAUUCAAAUGCACAGCAGGUGUUUGUGAAAAAGUCUUACAGAAUAUUUUGCUCUUGAAUAAUCUCAUUUCGUUCACAAUAUUUCCUCGCUCACAUUUCCAAUGUAUUCCAGUACAAUAUAUAGACUUUUACAUCACAGAAUUGUCAGAGAACAACCAUAAAGCUUUCAGAAAUGCUACUCCCACUGCUCAAUCCUGCCGCUUGACAUGGAAAGCCCACGUGGCCUGAUAUUUAAAUAAUAAAAACACAAAAUUUGAAAACAAUCUUCUUCUCUCCUCUCAUCGAUUUUUCUUCCUCUCUCCCAAACCCAUCGUAUGAAUCAAUUUUUCUUCAAAUCCCAUCGUCUGCAACCCAAACUCAUCGAGUUUUCUUCUAAUCCCAGCAAGCCAAACCCAUUUACGUUUUUGUUGGAAUCCCAUCGUCCGUGACUCCGCAAGCCAUCCCAGUUCCUUCUAAGAAUCCACAUCGUCUUCCUCGACAUUGUAGAAGAAGCCUUCCCAUCAUUCUCUCCUCCACAUCAUUAUCCUUAUACACAGAAAAUGCUCAUAGAUGGAGUCGCCCGCUACUGAGCCUCAUAGAGUGAAUUGUUCACUUCUAAAGCCCAUAUUGGUCGUCAUUUUCAAUUUGGGAUCAGCUUAUGCUACUUCUGGUAUAAAUAAUUUCUUUUGGUUGCUACUGGAAUCUGAGGUGAAAGCUGCCAAUCUAUACAGAUCACGCGCUUGUAAAUUGUCAGGAAUUCAUAUUUCUAUAAAGCAAACUGUUUUCAUUUGUUACUCGUUUUUAGAAUAAACCAUGGAGCAUUGGAGCAUUUAUAUGCGGUAAGCACAGAUGUUGUUUGGAUAUAUGAUGACUUGUAUAAUUUAAAAUAUUUUAUCACUUUUUAAUUUUUAACUUCAGUUUAAUUUUA